GCGACUGUCUCCCUCAAUCUCCUCCUCUCUGGCGACUCUCUCUCUCUCUCUUCAAUCGGCCCACCGCACCACCGCAUCCCUCUCUCCCCUCCCUCUGUUGACUCCCUCUCUCUCCCCCCAACCAAACCUUAAGUCCCCGUGGGACCUCUCUGCGUCGACGGCGGACAAUCCGUCCACUUCAGUCAUGAUCAGUAGGCGGUGGCGGAGAGAGUUCUCCGGUAGCAGUAGUGGCCAAGUGGUUGUUGCUUCAGCAGUAGUUGUUGUUUAAGCCCAUAUGUGUUGCCGUGUGGAUUUCCGAUGGUGAAUCAGAGUGCACCAAAUGGAGCAAGUACUACGAUUUUCUCUCAUCAUCAUUUAUGGAGUUCAAUUCUCGCUUCAUGUUUGAUUUCAUUUGUCUAAUUCCUUGGUUUUGUGAUUCAGUGGUGGGAAACCAGCAAAGGGAACUGCAUUUCGAUGAGUGGGUGGCCCUUCAUCAGUGAUCAGAGCAAAGACCUACGGAUCAGGAAAAAGGUCAAGUUUGGUCCAGAAUCGAGUCUGAUAAAGAAGUGCUUUUGGUUAUGUUUAUCCUGCUGUUGAUUAUCAGUCUUUUGUUUUUUUCCCUUCUGCCUCCUACAUGUAUUACGAAAAGAAGGCUCAAUGGCCUGAGAAAAAAAAAGUACACGAAGUACUGCCAAGGGAACAACUUGCAUUAAGGGAAAGGAAAAUGCAUUGAUAUGAUUCUUUGAAUUUGUAUAGAGUUCUUACAAAAAAAUGUAUAUGGCAUAUUUAUUUUUUUUAUUUACCAUACGCAAGUUCAACAUCUUUCAAGUCUCUCUAUCAACACUACGCAAGUUCGACCUCCCCAACAAAGAAAUGUUGGGAUUGUGAUACGUGACGAGCAAAAUGUCAAUGGCAUCCAUAGCAAUGGUAAGUCCAUACUAUUGAUUUUCACUUCAAUGUAUUUUAGGUUGGAACAAACCCUCAAGAAGUGGUACACCUUCCAACAACAAUAGGUAGAUGUCAAGAUCUAAAUGAAUUAUUGUCGACAGUUUAUCCCCAACUAGGAGUGGCAAAUGCAUCAACCCCAACAUUUUUAACUGAACGCACAAUUCUCUCAACUCGAAAUGAUGACAUGAAUGCUAUAAAUGGCACUGCACUAACUAUUUUUUUUUCAGGAAACAGAUACACUUACCUUGCUGCCAACAAGAUGUCUGAAGAUGACGGAAUGGAUAGAAGCAUCACUAACCGGUAUCCCAACGAGUAUCUAAACUCACUAGAUCCUACUGGGCUACCACCUUUUAAGCUAGAGUUGAAAGUGGGUUGUCCUAUAAUUUUGCUUAGAACCCCAAAGGAUGGAUUUUGUAAUGGGAUGAGGAUGAUGGUUGGAGGAUAUGGCACCCGUAUUGUUGAAGUUAAGAUUUUAACAGGCGAUAAAUUUGGCCACUUGACUUUCAUACCAAGAAUAUCUCUGUCUCCGUCAUCUUUAGAUUAUCCUUUCCAUAUGACAAUGCGUCAAUUUCCAGUACGUUUGGCAUAUGCUAUGACUAUUAACAAAGCACAAGGACAAUCUGUUAAAUUUGUUGGGGUCGAUUUGCGUACACCUGUGUUUAGUCAUGGGUAACUAUAUGUGGCAUUGUCAAGGUGCACGCCUUUUGACCGCAUAAAUGUCCUCCCCGAAGAAGCAAUAGAUUCCAUUACCAAUAUUGUUUAUCCUAAAGUUUUGUUGUAGUGUGCUUUAUCAUACCAGGUACAAUAGGUUGCAUGGUAUUAAAAAUGUUUUUUAUUUUUUUAGUUACCAUAUAUCAUCAAAUAAACAAAUAAUUUGGUCUACUAACUAGGUUUCUAUUAACAUAUCACUAUUCUUUUUUAGGAUUGGGACCAAGAAGCCUUGAAGCUCAGACUGAUCAAUACAAGUUGAAGAAAACGGUGGACUAAUAAGGUAUGUAGAAGUGAAGCAAUGACGUUUCGGACAAUCAUGUUGAGGAUGUGUGGACACGUUCAACAUCGGCUGUGUUUGUGUACGGACUUCUCUAUAGAUACUCUUAGCGUUAUGUUUUAUCAUCCGGCUCUUUUUUGCGAGUAUGACAUGUUUUUCUAUGACAGCAAGGCUUUGUAGCAAAACAGCUUCUUUGUGAGACAGAGUACUCUGUUUUAUUCUUUCUGAGUUUGCCAGAUUGAAUGAUGUUAAGACAGAGCACUAGCAAGGCUUUGGUGUUUGGAUGGUCUCUUUUGUUUUUUGUUUUGAUGUAACGGUUUUUUAAUCUUAACUAUAACCAACAGUGUACAAUUAUCUCCU
Molecule: long non-coding RNA, 2275 nt
Organism: Rhododendron vialii
Lineage: Eukaryota; Viridiplantae; Streptophyta; Magnoliopsida; Ericales; Ericaceae
Exons: 4
Source: RefSeq, a predicted model, not a curated record